This 364-nucleotide ribosomal RNA is filed under the name uncultured eukaryote. RNAcentral describes it as "partial 18S ribosomal RNA". It matches the Rfam family "Eukaryotic small subunit ribosomal RNA", at positions 592 to 976 of the family's 1831-position model. The record is from RNAcentral.
CAAAAGCGCAUAUUAAAGUUGUUGCAGUUAAAAAGCUCGUAGUUGAACCUUGGGCUUGGCUGGCCGGUCCAUCUUUUUUGAUGCGUACUGGACCCAGCCGAGCCUUUCCUUCUGGCUAGCCUUUUGGCGAACCAGGACUUUUACUUUGAAAAAAUUAGAGUGUUCAAAGCAGGCCUUUGCUCGAAUAUAUUAGCAUGGAAUAAUAGAAUAGGACGUUAUGGUUCUAUUUUGUUGGUUUCUAGGACCAUCGUAAUGAUUAAUAGGGACGGUCGGGGGUAUCAGUAUUCAGUUGUCAGAGGUGAAAUUCUUGGAUUUACUGAAGACUAACUACUGCGAAAGCAUUUACCAAGGACGUUUUCAUUAA